CCUACGGGAGGCAGCAGUGGGGAAUUUUGGACAAUGGGCGCAAGCCUGAUCCAGCAAUGCCGCGUGAGUGAAGAAGGCCUUCGGGUUGUAAAGCUCUUUUGUCAGGGAAGAAACGGUGGAGGCUAAUAUCCUUUGCUAAUGACGGUACCUGAAGAAUAAGCACCGGCUAACUACGUGCCAGCAGCCGCGGUAAUACGUAGGGUGCAAGCGUUAAUCGGAAUUACUGGGCGUAAAGCGUGCGCAGGCGGUUUUGUAAGUUUGUCGUGAAAUCCCUGGGCUCAACCUGGGAAUGGCGAUGAAGACUGCAAGGCUAGAAUCUGGCAGAGGGGGGUAGAAUUCCACGUGUAGCAGUGAAAUGCGUAGAGAUGUGGAGGAACACCGAUGGCGAAGGCAGCCCCCUGGGUCAAGAUUGACGCUCAUGCACGAAAGCGUGGGGAGCAAACAGGAUUAGAUACCCUGGUAAGUCCACGCCCUAAACGAUGUCUACUAGUUGUCGGGGUUUUAAUUAACUUGGUAACGCAGCUAACGCGUGAAGUAGACCGCCUUGGGGAAGUCGGUCGCAAGNUUAAAACUAAAUGAGUAGAGNGNGAGAGAGCGACGACGACGACGAGGGAGGAGG
This 619-nucleotide ribosomal RNA is filed under the name uncultured bacterium. RNAcentral's name for it is "bacterial SSU rRNA". It matches the Rfam family "Bacterial small subunit ribosomal RNA", at positions 338 to 944 of the family's 1533-position model. The record is from RNAcentral.